This 497-nucleotide ribosomal RNA is filed under the name uncultured bacterium. RNAcentral's name for it is "partial 16S ribosomal RNA". It matches the Rfam family "Bacterial small subunit ribosomal RNA", at positions 28 to 507 of the family's 1533-position model. The record is from RNAcentral.
GACGAACGCUGGCGGCGUGCCUAAUACAUGCAAGUUGAGCGCUGAAGGAUGGUACUUGUACCAACUGGAUGAGCAGCGAACGGGUGAGUAACGCGUGGGGAAUCUGCCUUUGAGCGGGGGACAACAUUUGGAAACGAAUGCUAAUACUGCAUAAAAACUUUAAACACAAGUUUUAAGUUUGAAAGAUGCAAUUGCAUCACUCAUAGAUGAUCCCGCGUUGUAUUAGCUAGUUGGUGAGGUAAAGGCUCACCAAGGCGAUGAUACAUAGCCGACCUGAGAGGGAGAUCGGCCACAUUGGGACUGGGGCACGGCCCAAGCUCCUACGGGAAGCAGCAGUAGGGGAUCUUCGGCAAUGGACGAAAGUCUGACCGAGCAACGCCGCGGGGGUGAAGGAGGUUUUCGGAUCGUAAAACUCUGUUGGUAGAGAAGAACGUUGGUGAGAGUGGAAAGCUCAUCAAGUGACGGUAACUACCCAGAAAGGGACGGCUAACUACGUG